CGGUGGGGCUUAGGCGGGGGGCUAGGGGUCCCUUGUACCGUAAACCCUCUAUAGGACGGGCUGACAGCUGAGGCUGAGGCGUUUAAGGUCGCUGAGACCCUCAUUUCCGAAACGAAGACUAUCCGUCCCUUGGGGCUGGCGGUUGUUGGGCAGCUUCCGUAGGGAAGCCGUCUCCAACGUUUACCAGGUGAAUCUGGCCAGGCCCGGGAGGGAGCAACCUAAGUCUGGACGUUUGGCGCUCAAGGGGGUGCGGGUACGAGUGUAGGGUUUGAGGGCUAGGCGGAUUCUGAAUGUCGAACCCCAGUGACCCAUCG
This 314-nucleotide signal recognition particle RNA is filed under the name Candidatus Bathyarchaeota archaeon. Its description in RNAcentral is "signal recognition particle sRNA". It matches the Rfam family "Archaeal signal recognition particle RNA". The record is from RNAcentral. Lineage: Archaea; Thermoproteati; Candidatus Bathyarchaeota.